AGUGGUUUCCGCUUUUCCGUCUUCCUGAUUCUCUCUUUGCCAGCUGCCAUCCAAAUCAACCCUGAGGAUUGGGAAGGAACUAUACAUACCAGGAGGCAAGGAGCACUGGGGGCCCUCCUGGAACUGCCUGUCACAGCGUCCUCAAAGACUUAGUCCCAGCCUUUGAAAAACUGCUGGUACCAUCUGCAGAAACACUACCGGUUUUCACUCUCCUAGGAUGACCCAGGUAUAGAAUCUGCCCCUAUGGUUCGGCUCCACCCUCUCACCUGUCUCUUGAGAGCAUUGUGAAAUUCUGAGACACAGCAAGGACAGAAACAGAGGGCAUGGAAGAUGCUUUCAGGUGCAGCAGCCAUCUUUUGACAAGUCAUGAGGAUAAAAGCCAACACACUCACCAUGGCAAGCAAAGAAACAGAAAAACCCUGCACGUCCGAUGACAUAACUGAGCAGUGAGGCAUAGUUCAGAGAGAGAGACUCUGGAGGAUGAGAGACCAUGAAGGGCAACAGAGAAAGACCCAGCCAACCCAGAAAACCUCCUGUGGAGAAUAAGCCUUUGUUGGAGAGAAGAAACCAAUGCUAAGAUGCGCCUGCUUCAGUCGGAUAUAAUUUAUCGCUUAUCUUCAAGAAAAAGAAACUCAAGUAACAAAAAAGGUAAAGAAGUCUCAUUCUCGCACAAUCUUUAGAACCUUGAAGCUGAACCACAGGAUCAGUGAGGUUGCUUCUUAAUGCAGGCCCUGAUGUUACUAAACUUGAACCUACGUCUCUUCUCAGAAUCUUUCAUAUUCAGUUUUUCAGACAAAAUGUAGUGAAGGAUAUGAUGUUUCCUGUAUAAUUAAUGCUCAGUAAAUGCUGUUGACUAUGUAAAACAACCUGUUUAGCACUUCUGGGCUGCUAAGCCCCUCUAACCUCCGUACAACAAAAACUUGUUUCCUGUGAGUCCUACAGGGAGUCGAGAAAUGUGAAGGAAAAACAUAUUUUCCUUUUGUAGAAAUUCCCACAAUUUAAACUCUUCCAAUUAGCACCUAAUUGGCAGGAUGCAAUUUGAAAUCAUUGAAUUAAACUGCUUUAAAAAAA
Molecule: long non-coding RNA, 1071 nt
Filed under: Homo sapiens (human)
Lineage: Eukaryota; Metazoa; Chordata; Mammalia; Primates; Hominidae
Description: novel transcript
Source: RNAcentral